AGGAAAAUAGUUCAAUUGGUAGAAUAUUGGUCUCCAAAACCAUAGGUUGUGGGUUCAAGUCCCUCUUUUCCUG
RNAcentral lists this transfer RNA (73 nucleotides) under Vischeria cf. polyphem. RNAcentral describes it as "Eustigmatos cf. polyphem tRNA-Trp". It matches the Rfam family "tRNA". From Rfam's summary of the family: Transfer RNA (tRNA) molecules are approximately 80 nucleotides in length. Their secondary structure includes four short double-helical elements and three loops (D, anti-codon, and T loops). The record is from RNAcentral. Lineage: Eukaryota; Eustigmatophyceae; Eustigmatales; Chlorobotryaceae.